UGAGGAACAUGACCUUCGGCGGGGGAUAGCCGGCCCAACGGCCGGGUAAUACCGCGUACGACCUUUUGGGGACAUCCCCGAUUGGUGAAAGCAGCAAUGCGCCGAAAGAGUGCCUCGCGGCCUAUCAGCUAGUUGGUGGGGUAAUGGCUCACCAAGGCGACGACGGGUAGCUGGUCUGAGAGGAUGGCCAGCCACAUUGGGACUGAGACACGGCCCAGACUCCUACGGGAGCAG
RNAcentral lists this ribosomal RNA (234 nucleotides) under uncultured bacterium. Its description in RNAcentral is "partial 16S ribosomal RNA". It matches the Rfam family "Bacterial small subunit ribosomal RNA", at positions 118 to 347 of the family's 1533-position model. The record is from RNAcentral.